This 290-nucleotide long non-coding RNA is filed under the name Mytilus galloprovincialis (Mediterranean mussel). Lineage: Eukaryota; Metazoa; Mollusca; Bivalvia; Mytilida; Mytilidae. The record is from RNAcentral.
AAAAAAGGUAGAAGGUUUUGAUCCAUUAAAACGUUUAAUCCCGCUGCAAAUGUUUGCACCUGUCCUUAGUCAGGAAUCUGAUGUACAGUAGUUGUCGUUUGUUUAUGUAAUUUAUACGUGUUUCUCGUUUCUCGUUUUUUUUUAUUUUAUAUAGAUUAGACCGUUGGUUUUCCCGUUUGAAUGGUUUUACACUAGUAAUUUUAGGGCCCUUUAUAGCUUGUUAUUCGGUGUGAUCCAAGGCUCCGUGUUGAAGGCCGAACAUUGAACUAUAAUGGUUUACUUUUUUAAAA